This is a long non-coding RNA of Pogonomyrmex barbatus (red harvester ant), 482 nucleotides long. Lineage: Eukaryota; Metazoa; Arthropoda; Insecta; Hymenoptera; Formicidae. The record is from RefSeq and is a predicted model, not a curated record.
CGUCUAGAGAAGAGCGAAAACGCAUGAAUCACCCCCCAUUGCACAACACGCGCGAAUAGAAUGCACAAAGAGCAAAAAAAAAGUACCGUAAAUCCGAAUGCGAACGAGCUUAUUGUCGAAUAUGGACUAUGUAAAUAUCGGAGCAACGUGGAAAAUUGCGCAUCGAGGAACGUAACUGCGAAGAUAAUACACGUGGUAUGUGCAAGGCGUGACGCGAUAAUUACGGAAAAUGAGACACCAGGGAAUGCCCGGCUGCACUGACAGGCGACAAUCUUCAGUUUGGUAGAGGACGAAAAUUGUAGGCACUGUUAAAUGCAUAAUAACGUAAUGUAAUGAAUGAUAUUGCGAAAUAUGCGAUAUACGAGGAACUUGCAUGCGAAGCUGAUUGUUCAUUGAUGCGAUCUAAAAAUAAAGGAAGAUUGCAAUUUCCCAUCAUCACUAUGUUAAUUAUGCAAUCAUUAGCGAGAUUAUCCUGUUUUCAG